RNAcentral lists this ribosomal RNA (207 nucleotides) under uncultured bacterium. Its description in RNAcentral is "partial 16S ribosomal RNA". It matches the Rfam family "Bacterial small subunit ribosomal RNA", at positions 568 to 774 of the family's 1533-position model. The record is from RNAcentral.
CGUGUAGGCGGUCAGGUUAGUGGGACGUGAAAUGCCCCGGCUCACCCGGGGACCUGCGUCCCAAACUGCCUGGCUUGAGUAUGGGAGAGGAUGUGGGAAUUCCUGGUGUAGCGGUGAAAUGCGUAGAUAUCAGGAGGAACACCGGUGGCGAAGGCGCACAUCUGGCCCAAUACUGACGCUGAGGCGCGAAAGCUAGGGGAGCAAACG